RNAcentral lists this transfer RNA (75 nucleotides) under Alphaproteobacteria bacterium. RNAcentral's name for it is "tRNA-Val". It matches the Rfam family "tRNA". From Rfam's summary of the family: Transfer RNA (tRNA) molecules are approximately 80 nucleotides in length. Their secondary structure includes four short double-helical elements and three loops (D, anti-codon, and T loops). Further hydrogen bonds mediate the characteristic L-shaped molecular structure. tRNAs have two regions of fundamental functional importance: the anti-codon, which is responsible for specific mRNA codon recognition, and the 3' end, to which the tRNAs corresponding amino acid is attached (by aminoacyl-tRNA synthetases). tRNAs cope with the degeneracy of the genetic code in two manners: having more than one tRNA (with a specific anti-codon) for a particular amino acid; and 'wobble' base-pairing, i.e. permitting non-standard base-pairing at the 3rd anti-codon position. Lineage: Bacteria; Pseudomonadati; Pseudomonadota; Alphaproteobacteria. The record is from RNAcentral. RNAcentral also lists the same sequence under 2 other names.
GGGCGUAUAGCUCAGCGGUAGAGCACUACGUUGACAUCGUAGGGGUCACUGGUUCAAUCCCAGUUACGCCCACCA